CCAUCUACACACAGAAGGCUGGUGCCUCUCCACCACAUCCAUUCCAGCCAGAUCUGACUAUAUGCUGCUGCUUAUGACACCUAAGGCUUGUCUGCACAGGGAAAUUGACCAGUAUAACUGCCCAUGUGGACACUCUAUUCUAGACUAAAGGAUAGAAGCGGUUUGACAGAUUGAGAAUUGAAGAUUCCUGUAAAUUUGUAGUUGGGGUGCUUAGAGCAUGAUUUUGAAUAUUAAUGGACAAUCAGACUGAGGAUCAAACAACCAGGAGAUGUGAACAAGUCUGAUUAACACUGAGGCUCAUCCACUUUAAACAUAUCACUAAACAGCACGCAGUUAUCAAGCACUGUUUGUGUUCUUAUAUUCACAAAU
Long non-coding RNA from Mauremys mutica (yellowpond turtle), 369 nucleotides. RefSeq lists it as uncharacterized. NCBI's taxonomy places the organism in Eukaryota, Metazoa, Chordata, Testudines, Geoemydidae. The transcript has 3 exons. The record is from RefSeq and is a predicted model, not a curated record.